This 159-nucleotide ribosomal RNA is filed under the name Xylariaceae sp. RNAcentral describes it as "partial large subunit ribosomal RNA". It matches the Rfam family "Eukaryotic large subunit ribosomal RNA", at positions 99 to 261 of the family's 3401-position model. Lineage: Eukaryota; Fungi; Ascomycota; Sordariomycetes; Xylariales; Xylariaceae. The record is from RNAcentral.
CGGCAACAGCUCAAAUUUGAAAUCUGGCCCUCGGGUCCGAGUUGUAAUUUGUAGAGGACGCCUUUGGCGCGGUGCCUUCCGAGUUCCCUGGAACGGGACGCCUUAGAGGGUGAGAGCCCCGUACGGUUGGACACCAAGCCUCUGUAAGGCCCCUUCGAC